AUGUGGCAGCAGGAACCCACGCUGGGGACCCAGGCUGCUGUCUUCAAGACCACUGCUCACCUGGAGGGAGAAAUGGCCAAGGAAUCCAGUACCAUCAAACAAGUCCAAGUGAAAAAGAAAUCAAGCCUGAAGCUAAGCGAACCUCCACAGCCAAUUACCAGUUUAGAGGCAAUACAGGAAAGUCGAUUCAACCUGGUAUCCAGUGAAGAAAUCCCUAGUGCAAAGGAGAGGUGGAUCUCAGGACUGUGCGUCAUUUGCAAAAGGAAGCGCAUGAACCACCAGGUGGGGCUGCUGAGCUGCUUCUGCUCCGAGGAGGUGGAUGUCCGGGAUGAGCUUUAAGGUGAAGAGAGGGAUGUCAUUGCUCAUCCUCCAGGUUCCAAGUAAAAACCUUCCUGCCCAGCCCUUCUCGUUCUCCUUGAAUCCUCAAAGCCAGUGAGGACUGUCUCCUCACCUCCCUGGACUAGGCUUUUUAACACUGGAAAGUGGAUGUGAUUUCUAGUUUCAGCAUGUCCUGGUUUAUUGUGCUGCCAGUAAAAUAAAAUCAAAAUAUACAUCGAAUAAAUAAAAACUAAAAUAACCCAUAGUGAGCAAAGGUUUACAAUGUAUUUUUUAGAGUCAAGAUGUACCUCUGUGACUGGGCUGGAGUCCAGUGGUGCAAUCAUAGCUCACUGCAGCCUUGAAUUCAUGAGCUCAAGGGAUCUUCCCACCUCGCCUCCCCAAUACCUGGAAAUACAAGUGCCCAUGCCCACGCCUAAGGGUACUUAUUUUUAUUUUAUUUUUUACAGAUGAAGGUCUCAUAUGUUGUCCGAGCUGGUCUCCAACUCCUGAUCUUAAGUGAUCCUUUUUCCUUAGUGUCCUGAAUUGCUGGGAUUACAGGCAUGAGCUGUCAUGCUUGGCUCAUCCUGUACUGAAACCAUCAAGAUUUCCUCCUCCAAGUGUGGACACAGCAGCAGACACCCCUUGUCUCUUGGGUCAGGUUACUGGGUAAAGUGGAAUAACAGGGCAAUGGAGUUGACAGGGAGGGCCAGCUGUCCCAGGGCCACCAUAUUCAGGGAUAACUCCUCUUUCUGGGCAGGACUGUUGUUUGAUUACCUUUGUAUUCAUAAUAGUUCUGAAAUCAUAGGAUGAUGAGACUCAAGACUGGCUAAGAUUUUUUUUUCAAAAACACCAUCUCUGAGAUUUGUUUAUCUUUUGAAAUUUUUUUGUGUCUCAAUUUCCUUAAGAAUUUAACUCAUUCUUAACAUUUCAUAGUUCACUUCCAGUUAAUAAUGUACUAGUACCCAUAAAUAUAGAAAUCUUGCAACCAUUUGUCCUCUAUAAAAUGUUCAUCUUUUAUAAUAUAGAUAUUAUAUGUAAUAUAUCUAUAUAGGUUAUAAACCCCACAAAAAAGAACUUUUUACUUUUUCUUAUCUUUAAACAGUUCUGUGUAUAUAAAGGAAGUGUAAAUGAGGGAAGCAAGAUAGCCUUUUGCACUUAGCUCAAUAUUUACCAUUUUCUAUCAUCUUCAUCUUUUCUGAUUAUCCCAUUUUCCACCUGGUAUCAUUUGCCUCUAGCCUGAGGAAUUUUCUUUACCAGUUGUUACUGUGCAGAUCUGCUGGUGACAAAUUCUCUCAAUUUUCUUUUACCUGAAAUAUCUUCUUAUUUUGCCUUUCUUUAAAGGACAUCUAUGCUGGAUGUAGAAUUCUUAGUUGACCUUUUAUUCUUGCAGGACUUUAAAAAUGUUAUUCUACUUUCUUUUGUUUGUUGGUUUCUAAUAAGAAGUCAUUGGUCAGGACAGGAGAAACAGAGAAACCAAAACUGGGAAAAUAACAUGGUAGACCUAACACUUAUCACAUCGAUAAUGACAGAAACCUACAUGAAUCAACAAUCCAAUGAAGAGCAGCAAUUGUGUGACUUGGUUUAAAAAACACACAGAACAAUUCUAACUGGCGUGAGAUGGUAUCUCAAUGUAGUUUUGAUUUGCAUUUCUCUAAUGACCAGUGAUAAUGAGCAUUUUUUCAUAUGCUUUUGGCCUCAUGUAUGUCUUCUUUUGUAAAGUAUCUGCUCAUGUCCUUUGCCCACUUUUGAAUGGGCUUGUUUUUUUUUUUUUUUUGGUAAAUCUGUUUUAGUUCUUUGUAAAUUCUGGAUAUCAGCCCUUUGUCAGAUGGGUAAACUGCAAAAAUUUUUUCCCAUUCUGUUGGUUGCCAAUUCACUCUAAUGAUUGUUUCUUUUGCCGUGCAGAAGCUGUGGAGUUUAAUUAAGUCCCAUUUGUCUAUUUUGGCUUUUGUUGCCAAUGUUUUUGGUGUUUUGGUCAUGAAGUCCUUGCCUACUCUUAUGUCCUGAAUGGUUUUGCCUAGAUUUUCUUCUAGGGUUUUGAUGGUGCCAGGUCUUAUGUUUAAGUCUUUAAUCCAUCUGGAGUUAAUUUUAGUGUAAGGUGUCAGGAAGGGAUCCAGUUUCUGCUUUCUGCACAUGGCUAGCCAGUUUCCCCAACACCAUUUAUUAAACAGGAAAUCCUUUCCCCAUUGCAUGUUUUUGUCAGGUGGCAAUCAUUAAAAAAUCUGGAGACAACAGAUGCUGGAGAGGAUGUGGAGAAAUAGGAACAUUUUUACACUGUUGGUGGGAAUGUAUAUUAGUUCAACCAUUGUGGAAGACAGUGUGGCGAUUCCUCAAGGACCUAGAAAUAGAAAUUCCAUUUGACCCAGCAAUCCCAUUACUGGGUAUAUAUCGAAAAAAUUAUAAAUCAUUCUACUAUAAAGACACAUGCACACGAAUGUUCAUUGCAGCACUGUUUACAAUAGCAAAGAUCUGGAACCAACCCAAAUGCCCAUCAAUGAUAGACUGGACAGGGAAAAUGUGGCACAUAUACACCAUGGAAUAUUAUGAAGCCAUAAAAAACGAUGAGUUCGUGUCCUUUGUAGGGACAUGGAUGAACCUGGAAACCAUCAUUCUCAGCAAACUGACACAAGAACAGAAAAUGAAAUGCCGCAUGUUCUCACUCAUAGGUGGGUGUUGAACAAUGAGAACACAUGGACACAGGGAAGGGAGCACUACACACUGGGGUCUGUAGGGGGAAUAGGGGAGGGACAGUGGGGGCUGGGGAGUUGGGGAGAGAGAGCAUGGGGAGAAAUGACAGAUAUAGGUGAAGGAGAGGAAGGCAGCAAAUCACACUGCCACAUGUGUACCUAUGCAACUAUCUUGCAUGUUCUUCACAUGUACCCCAAAACCUAAAAUCCAAUAAAAAGAUAAAUAAGUAAAAUAAAAAAUAAAAAAACCACAGAACCAAACUAUAUGUAGUUUCCAGAUAUGCACUUUCUUUUCUUUUCUUUUUUUUUUUUUUGUAACUUUUAUUUUUAGUUAAGGGGUACAUGUGCAGGUUUGUUAUAUAGGUAAAUUUGUGUCAUGGGUUUUUUGUACAGAUUAUUUCUGUACCCAUUGCUACCCACCCAAGUAUUAAGCCUGAGUACCCAUUAGCUCUUUUUCCUGAUCCUCUCCUUCC
This 3475-nucleotide long non-coding RNA is filed under the name Callithrix jacchus (white-tufted-ear marmoset). RNAcentral's name for it is "lncRNA (ENSCJAG00000082483.1)". Lineage: Eukaryota; Metazoa; Chordata; Mammalia; Primates; Cebidae. The record is from RNAcentral.